RNAcentral lists this ribosomal RNA (396 nucleotides) under Enterobacter ludwigii. RNAcentral's name for it is "bacterial SSU rRNA". It matches the Rfam family "Bacterial small subunit ribosomal RNA", at positions 62 to 456 of the family's 1533-position model. Lineage: Bacteria; Pseudomonadati; Pseudomonadota; Gammaproteobacteria; Enterobacterales; Enterobacteriaceae. The record is from RNAcentral.
UCGAACGGUAGCACAGAGAGCUUGCUCUCGGGUGACGAGUGGCGGACGGGUGAGUAAUGUCUGGGAAACUGCCUGAUGGAGGGGGAUAACUACUGGAAACGGUAGCUAAUACCGCAUAACGUCGCAAGACCAAAGAGGGGGACCUUCGGGCCUCUUGCCAUCAGAUGUGCCCAGAUGGGAUUAGCUAGUAGGUGGGGUAACGGCUCACCUAGGCGACGAUCCCUAGCUGGUCUGAGAGGAUGACCAGCCACACUGGAACUGAGACACGGUCCAGACUCCUACGGGAGGCAGCAGUGGGGAAUAUUGCACAAUGGGCGCAAGCCUGAUGCAGCCAUGCCGCGUGUAUGAAGAAGGCCUUCGGGUUGUAAAGUACUUUCAGCGGGGAGGAAGGUGUUG